GAUGAACGCUGGCGGCGUGCUUAACACAUGCAAGUCGAACGAUGAAGCCCAGCUUGCCGGGUGGAUUAGUGGCGAACGGGUGAGUAACACGUGAGUAACCUGCCCUUAACUCUGGGAUAAGCCUGGGAAACUGGGUCUAAUACCGGAUAGGAGCGUCCACCGCAUGGUGGGUGUUGGAAAGAUUUAUCGGUUUUGGAUGGACUCGCGGCCUAUCAGCUUGUUGGUGAGGUAAUAGCUCACCAAGGCGACGACGGGUAGCCGGCCUGAGAGGGUGACCGGCCACACUGGGACUGAGACACGGCCCAGACUCCUACGGGAGGCAGCAGUGGGGAAUAUUGCACAAUGGGCGCAAGCCUGAUGCAGCGACGCCGCGUGAGGGAUGACGGCCUUCGGGUUGUAAACCUCUUUCAGUAGGGAAGAAGCGAAAGUGACGGUACCUGCAGAAGAAGCACCGGCUAACUACGUG
Molecule: ribosomal RNA, 466 nt
Filed under: uncultured bacterium
Lineage: Bacteria
Description: partial 16S ribosomal RNA
Rfam family: Bacterial small subunit ribosomal RNA
Source: RNAcentral